Molecule: long non-coding RNA, 699 nt
Filed under: Citrus maxima (pomelo)
Lineage: Eukaryota; Viridiplantae; Streptophyta; Magnoliopsida; Sapindales; Rutaceae
Description: long non-coding RNA (CMAX_LNC002831)
Source: RNAcentral
UGUUCCUAAACCACCUUAUUCCCCAAGCCCUAAACCGCCUUACGUGCCAAAACCACCUCAUACUCCAGUCCCUAGGCCACCAUAUUUCCCCAAACCACCUUACACACCAAGGCCUAAGCCACCAUAUGCGCCAAAACCACCUUAUACGCCAACCCCUAAGCCACCAUAUUUCCCCAAACCACCUUACACACCAAGGCCGAAGCCACCAUAUGUGCCAAAACCACCUUAUACGCCAGCCCCUAAGCCACCAUAUUUUCCCAAACCACCUUACACACCAAGGCCUAAGCCACCAUAUGCACCAAAACCACCUUAUACGCCAACACCUAAGCCACCAUAUUUCCCCAAACCACCUUACACACCAAGGCCUAAGCCACCGUACGUGCCAAAACCACCGUACACACCAAGGCCUAAGCCACCGUACGUGCCAAAACCACCAUACACACCAACCCCUAAGCCACCGUACGUGCCAAAACCACCUUACACCCCAACCCCUAAGCCACCGUACGUGCCAAAACCACCGUAUACCCCAACUCCUAAGCCACCGUACGUCCCAUCGCCACCUUAUACCCCUCGCCCUAAACCACCGUAUGUACCAUCACCACCUUAUACCCCUAGCCCUAAACCACCGUAUGUGCCAUCACCACCAUAUACCCCAAGCCCUACCCCACCAUAUGUACCAUCACCACCGUAUACCCCAAG